CCGGAGCCGGUUGCCACGGCGACGCCUGCAAAGAUGGCUGCUGCGUCUUCGUCGGAUUCCGACAGCGGCAGAGCUGAGAGCAAUGAGGCCAGUUCGAAAUGGCUGGACGCACACUACGACCCCAUGGCCAACAUCCACACCUUUUCCUCCUGCCUGGCGCUGGCAGAUUUGCAUGGGGAUGGGGAGUACAAGGU
Non-coding RNA from Leptonychotes weddellii (Weddell seal), 194 nucleotides. Lineage: Eukaryota; Metazoa; Chordata; Mammalia; Carnivora; Phocidae. The record is from RefSeq and is a predicted model, not a curated record.